Molecule: small RNA, 625 nt
Filed under: Pan troglodytes (chimpanzee)
Lineage: Eukaryota; Metazoa; Chordata; Mammalia; Primates; Hominidae
Description: retained intron
Source: RNAcentral
ACAUGGCGAAACCCUGGCUCUACAAAAAAUGCAAAAAUGAGCUAGAUAUGGUCAUAUGUGUCUGUAAUCCUAGCCACACAAGGAGGCUGAGGUGGGAGGAUUGCUUGAGCCUGGGAGGCAAAGGUUGCAGUGACCCGAGAUGGCGCCACUGCACUCCAGCCUGGGUGACAGCGGAAACCCUGUCUAAAAAAAAAAAAAACAAUGAGAUGAGGUACUGGAAUCUGGUUUUCUCACCAUGGAAGACCCAGCAUUGGACCAAUGAGAAUAAGGUUUCACCUUUUGUUUUUCUCUAUUCUUUAGUUAUAGGUAUGGACACAGUAAGAGUCCUCAUUUCAGAGAGAAGAGCCCAGUCAGGGAGCCAAUUGAUAAUCUGAGUCCUGAGGAGCGUGAUGCCCGCACAGUUUUCUGUAUGCAGUUAGCUGCCCGAAUUCGGCCUCGAGAUCUGGAGGACUUUUUCUCUGCUGUAGGCAAGGUUCGCGAUGUACGUAUCAUCUCAGAUCGGAACUCACGUCGUUCUAAGGGCAUUGCCUACGUGGAAUUCUGUGAAAUCCAGUCUGUGCCACUGGCCAUUGGGCUGACUGGGCAGCGGUUGCUGGGAGUGCCUAUCAUUGUACAGGCUUCACAG